This 207-nucleotide ribosomal RNA is filed under the name Klebsiella pneumoniae. RNAcentral describes it as "partial 16S ribosomal RNA". It matches the Rfam family "Bacterial small subunit ribosomal RNA", at positions 1023 to 1230 of the family's 1533-position model. Lineage: Bacteria; Pseudomonadati; Pseudomonadota; Gammaproteobacteria; Enterobacterales; Enterobacteriaceae. The record is from RNAcentral.
GGAACUGUGAGACAGGUGCUGCAUGGCUGUCGUCAGCUCGUGUUGUGAAAUGUUGGGUUAAGUCCCGCAACGAGCGCAACCCUUAUCCUUUGUUGCCAGCGGUCCGGCCGGGAACUCAAAGGAGACUGCCAGUGAUAAACUGGAGGAAGGUGGGGAUGACGUCAAGUCAUCAUGGCCCUUACGACCAGGGCUACACACGUGCUACAA